GUCUCUUUGAAUUAUAUUAAUAGAGAGUUGGGCCUGCUCGGUGAGAAUGAAAAUUUAACAGCUGCGGUAUUAUAACUGUACUAAGGUAGCAUAAUAAUUUGCCUUGUAAAUUAAGGCUAGAAUGAAUGGUUUGACGAAAAUUAAGCUGUCUCUGAUUUAUUUGUUAGAAAUUAAUUUUUAUAGUGAAAAAGCUUGGAUAAUUUAAAGGGACGAGAAGACCCUAUUGAGCUUGGUUAUUAAUAAUUAAAUAUAAAAUAAAUUGUUUUUAUGGAUUUAUUUAGUAUGAUAGUAUAUAAAUAUAUUUAGUUAAAUUAAUUUUGAUUGGGGUGAUCAAGGAAUAAAAUAUUUAAAAAGUAACUUCCUUAAUUUUUAUUAGAGAAUUUUAAUUGAGUAAUAAACCAAAGUUUUUGCUUAUAAGAUAAGUUACCAUAGGGGUAACAGCGUAAUUUUUUUUGAGAGUUCAUAUUGAAAAAAGAGAUUGCGACCUCGAUGUUGGAUUAAAAAUUACCUUAAGGUGAAGAGGCUUUAUUAGGUGAAUCUGUUCGAUUUUUAAAAUUUU
Molecule: ribosomal RNA, 559 nt
Filed under: Callistoctopus ornatus
Lineage: Eukaryota; Metazoa; Mollusca; Cephalopoda; Octopoda; Octopodidae
Description: partial 16S rRNA
Rfam family: Bacterial large subunit ribosomal RNA
Source: RNAcentral